UAUGAUAUUGAAUAAAAAAGGAUGCUACAAGACCCGAAACUUCUAAUACUCCAAUGGUUACAAGUUGAGAUUCCAACUUAGGUCUCAAGUUAAAGCCGCACUAGGAUGCAAAGGUUUUUAAGGAAGGGAAAAGCUAUUCCCAUUGUGUAGCCUAGCCAAUGGCAAAAAGAAAUAGUAACGACAGUUAAUAAAUUAUGUAGCAUCAUAGUGUGCAGCUUAUGAGUUGCCAACGAAUUCGCAAAUCCAACUGUGAAGAAACUUUUUAAAAUGAGUUAAAAAGGCAACUUUUUUUUUUAUCAAGUCAUUCUUGUACUGCUGGAAUGAAAAGAUAAAGCAGAAAACAAAGAAAGUUCUUAGCCAUUUUCACCAUAUUGCAUAGAGAUCACACACACACACACAAACUGUAUAUGCAGUCAUUUAUAUCUUGCAAGCGAAUCCAAUAUUUUU
Molecule: unclassified non-coding RNA, 447 nt
Filed under: Hevea brasiliensis (rubber tree)
Lineage: Eukaryota; Viridiplantae; Streptophyta; Magnoliopsida; Malpighiales; Euphorbiaceae
Source: RNAcentral